This 373-nucleotide long non-coding RNA is filed under the name Hordeum vulgare. Its description in RNAcentral is "long non-coding RNA (HVUL_LNC010967)". The record is from RNAcentral. Lineage: Eukaryota; Viridiplantae; Streptophyta; Magnoliopsida; Poales; Poaceae.
UGCUUAGACUCUUCGCACAAGAAAGGUAAAUGAAGUCCUCGAAAAAGUUUUGGCAGACAUGAUCGGGCUACAGGUCGGCGUGAGACAACUCAAGUUCAAACGGUGAGAAACCGUAUUCCUCUUCUUGUGCAAAGUACUCCUCAGCAGGGAUAACAGCUGCGCGAUCACGUGCACAUGAAUAUCAGGAUGCAACCCUAAACAUCAUUUGGAAGUGUAGAGAUUGAAUAAACUUUAGUACCAAGCGGCGAAGUUGUGUCAACGGAUGCAAUACAUAUCCUCUUGUUACUUAUCGGCGUGCAAGUUGAAAUUGAAGUAGUAGUUGGACUAACCAACCCCGAAGAGCUAUGCCCAACAAUUUGAUGCGGUAACGUGU